Quercus robur (English oak) is the source of this 3151-nucleotide long non-coding RNA. RefSeq lists it as uncharacterized. The record is from RefSeq and is a predicted model, not a curated record. Lineage: Eukaryota; Viridiplantae; Streptophyta; Magnoliopsida; Fagales; Fagaceae. The transcript has 7 exons.
GUCAUUUUUAGAACCCAAAUGAUGUAUUCCCAAUUAGAAGUCAAACUCACUCUAACUUCAGUUUCUCCUCUUAUGAAUACUCUCAACACCGACGCUUGCGAUACAGAGAUAGAGAAGGAGGAAAAAAAAACCUUGCGAUACAGAGAAGGAGACAGAGUUCGUACCCGCCACCGUCCGUUCCAUUGCCAGAAUUAUACCACUGAAACCGGCGCCGGUAACGUAAAGGUGCACACAGGAAUUGAGAUACGGACAUAGAGAGAACUACCCCCGAGUGCAAACUUACCCACUUAGAUUUCUGCCACCAAGUUAGUUUAGAGUCACAAGAGAACGAUCGUUACAUCGUUUGAAGAUUCUUUUAAUAACCGUUUGGAAUAUGCUGAUACAAAAGGAGAGAGGACGAUAGAGAGACGAAGAAGAAGGAUUAUUAUAUAAGAAGAGAAAGCCAGUGGAGCAUACACAGGCCAAGAAGGGAGAAGGUUUUUAUGGUGAUUGGCUUUUUAAAUUGGCUUUUUGAUUGUUGAGUGGAACCAUGAAGGCAAGCAGAUAUAGAAGAUGUCCAUGAGACCAAAUGUAAGAGAGAAUUUGAGAGACAAGCAGCAUGGCAAGCGUUGGAGAUUUGUUGCCCAUCCAAAGAGAUUCACUGUAAGUCAUUAUUUUAGAGAGAGAGUCUGUAAUGCAAUGAGAGAGAAAUUUGAUGGCCCUGCCACUGCCUUCUCGGUCUUCUGCCACUGUCAUACUUUCAGAACCAUUACCGGUAAUUUUGUUCUAUCUACUUAUUUUUAAGUUAGGUGACAAAUAUGAUAUAGGAAUUAAUUUUGUUAGAGUUGCUUCUGUUUUUCAUAUUUGUGUCUAAUUUAGUUUUGUUUUGGGUAUGUUGGUUAAAUUAUUAAUAUCUUCUGUAACAAAAACUGAAAUGACUUUUCAAUUUGUAACAUUUGGCUUGAUCUGCAACAGAAAACUCCUUUUAGCCUAUUUUUCCCCGAAACCAAACACCCAAAAACCUUUAACCAAAGAGAGCCAUAAUAGGAACAACUGGUCAUGAGUCACAACCACAACCCAUCCAAGCAUCUACAAUGUCAACAAUGACAAGAAUAGAAGAGAUAAAAGCAGAAGCCUUUCCCUGCAAUUAAGCCCAUUGCAACAUGUAGGAAGCAUUUGGCAAGGGAAAGUGCUCACUUGGUUUUAAACAAAGCUCUCUCUCAAUGCAAGGAGUGUAGAUAAUGAAAAAUUAGAGACAAUGAAAUAGUAUUUGGAGAAGAUAAAGUAUUCAAAGAGGAUGAUCAACAUUGCUAUGCUGAAACUUGGGAAUAUGGUGUUGCAGAGAAGAAACAGAACAAAGAACCCUCCCACCACUGACCUGCCAGAACUGCAAACAAUAAGUUUUCCUCUUUAUUUUUCAAUUUGUGCAUUAAAUAUUAUCUUCUUUUUCUAUAAUAGUUGGAUUGGUUUGGAUGUAUAUCAUUGGGUUAUUUGUGGCUUUGAUUAAGGUUUUUGCAUUAUGAUGGUGGUGUUUAGGUUAAAACACAUACGAAUGGAAUUAAAGUCGGUGACGUGACUAGCAUAAGAAGCAGGUACACUCUGCACCACUUAGCGGUGGCGCAUCCCAAGUGGAAACUGCAUCACAUCUCUUUGACUCACCAAACCCUCCCUUCAUCAAAACCCCACUGACUGCAAUGCUUAAUAGAAAAAAUUUUUAGCUAGAAGUCCAGUAUUUCUUCUUUUCUUGGUUUGGAUGGAAUUGGAUUUUUUUGGUAGUUAUGGUUGUGACUCCUAUUUUGGUACUUAACUUGGGACUAUUUUCAAUUAACAUGUAGAACAGUAACAAAUUUGUUAUUUGUUCUUUGUGAGAUGUAUACAUGUUGAUUGUGAUUUUUAUGUUGCAGAAGCCAUUAAUAGUCGGAAAGAAUCCUUAAAAUUGCUUCUAAUAUUGCUGCAUUUGGAUGAUUUAAAAGUUAUAUAGGCAUGGCUUUAUGCAUAAACUUGUGAUUUUUUUGCUGCUUUUGCAUGUUUGAGCUUUUGACAUCUGAUUUUUUGAGUGAAGAUAAUGGGAUUUUUCUCCUCAGUCUAUGUGUGUGUUUAAUUGUAAUAUAUGUGUUCCAAUUUUGGUAUUAUUCAAUUCUAAUAUGUGGGCGUUGCAUUGUGUUAAUCUUAUAGGAGUCUAACACUAAUCAUCUUAAAUGCCAUUUCAAUUUUUGGUACAUGUUAGUCUAUUGGUUAAAUAUUUUCGUAUUUUUAGCUUCUAUUGAGAGAUGAUGUCUUUAGGAAAUGUCUUUGAAAUUCCUAUCCACAAUCUAUCUUUUUCUGAGUUAAUUAUUUUUUAAAGAUGAUGCUUAUUCCUAAAUCAGUUUAUGAUUCUUGAUAUGCAGAGUAUUUACAAAUAGAAUGUGCUAUAUAUAUAUAUAUAUAUAUAUGUUAUUCCAAAUGCUUCCUGAACAUUGAAUUUACAUUUUAAAUUAGUUUAGUCUUGGUUCCAUGAGCAUUCAACAUUACAGGCAUUCUUUUUUUACUUAUACCCAAAAUUUUGUACAUGCAUGUGUUUGUUGCACCCAUACCCAGUUAGUGACAAAUAUAUUGAAUGAUUUAUGUUAAUAAUAAUCCUUUGAAGUUUAUAGAGUGCAUCAUAGUGCACCAUUCUCUAAUUUAUGUUGAUGUUACUUUGUUAGGUCUUAAUUGCUAUUAAGAGCCGGAGAGUAGGAGAGUAGUUGAGAAACUGCCAGAGACAAAUAAGGAAAUGGCUAUAAAUGAAGUUAAGAAGAGGGCAAAAAUUGUCAAUAUCCUUAUGCACCAAGAAAUUUAUGGAAAAGGAUUGCGCUAAAAAGCAUCAAGUAGAUGUACAUGGCUUAGGAAAGGGAUCAGGUAGCUGCAGAUUUCUCUAUGAGAUUUCAUAAAUGUAACUUUGAUUUAGUGCUACUAUCUUUUAUUUUUUUAUAGGGCGGUAUAGUGAUUGGUAUUGAUAAAACUCUAUAAUAUAAUUUUUACAAGAGUUUUAGUUUUUUAUUUUUUUUCCUACCCUAAGAUAUAUCUUUUGUCCAGUCUUUGUAUUCUUGAAAUUAAUUGUACUUUGUGUAGUUUAAAUUGGAUUCUUAUAGUAAGAAUCCUGUAAUCGUGACAAACAUAGUUUGUAUAAUUGAGGUUCUUUGUAUUUUCCUUA